GAUGAAGAACGCAGCGAAAUGCGAUAAGUAAUGUGAAUUGCAGAAUUCAGUGAAUCAUCGAAUCUUUGAACGCACCUUGCACCCUUUGGCAUUCCGAAGGGUAUGCUCGUUUGAGUGUCAUUGUACUCUCACUCUCCCGAUACUUUUGGAUCGGGAGUGGUGGACUUGGGUGCUGCUGCCUAACUGUGGCUCGCCUUAAAUGAAGUAGUGCAACUCUCGGUUGGACAUAGUACGGCGUGAUAAGUGUCUUCGCCGGCGCCUCAUUCGAGGGUGGCCGAUCGGGAGCUCUGUGCUUCAAACUGUCUUCGGACAACAUCUGACAACUUGACCUCAAAUCGAGUAGGACUACCCGCUGAACUUAAGCAUAUCAAUAAGCGGAGGA
Molecule: unclassified non-coding RNA, 382 nt
Filed under: soil metagenome
Description: partial contains 5.8S ribosomal RNA, internal transcribed spacer 2, and large subunit ribosomal RNA
Rfam family: 5.8S ribosomal RNA (bases 1-120)
Source: RNAcentral